UACGUAGGGUGCAAGCGUUAUUCGGAAUUACUGGGCGUAAAGCGUGCGCAGGCGGCUUUGCAAGUCAGAUGUGAAAUCCCCGGGCUUAACCUGGGAACUGCAUUUGUGACUGCAUGGCUAGAGUGCGGGAGAGGGGGAUGGAAUUCCGCGUGUAGCAGUGAAAUGCGUAGAUAUGCGGAGGAACACCGAUGGCGAAGGCAAUCCCCUGGGCCUGCACUGACGCUCAGGCACGAAAGCGUGGGGAGCAAACAGG
This 253-nucleotide ribosomal RNA is filed under the name uncultured bacterium. Its description in RNAcentral is "partial 16S ribosomal RNA". It matches the Rfam family "Bacterial small subunit ribosomal RNA", at positions 524 to 776 of the family's 1533-position model. The record is from RNAcentral.